RNAcentral lists this ribosomal RNA (437 nucleotides) under uncultured bacterium. Its description in RNAcentral is "partial 16S ribosomal RNA". It matches the Rfam family "Bacterial small subunit ribosomal RNA", at positions 29 to 507 of the family's 1533-position model. The record is from RNAcentral.
AACGAACGCUGGCGGCAUGCUUAACACAUGCAAGUCGAACGAGACCUUCGGGUCUAGUGGCGCACGGGUGCGUAACGCGUGGGAACCUGCCCUUAGGUUCGGAAUAACUCCCCGAAAGGGGUGCUAAUACCGGAUAAUGUCUUCGGACCAAAGAUUUAUCGCCUUUGGAUGGGCCCGCGUUGGAUUAGCUAGUUGGUAGGGUAAAAGCCUACCAAGGCGACGAUCCAUAGCUGGUCUGAGAGGAUGAUCAGCCACACUGGGGCGGAGACACGGCCCAGACGCCCACGGGGGGAAGCAGGGGGGGAGGAAGGUCGAAGGGGGGGAGAAGGCUGCAGCAAGAUUGCCGGGGGGAAGAAGGACGAUUUAGGUGGUAAAACUCUUUCGUCGAGGGCAUGAUCAUGACAUGACGGGAGGAAGAAGCCCCGGCUAACUCCGUG